This 250-nucleotide ribosomal RNA is filed under the name uncultured bacterium. RNAcentral describes it as "partial 16S ribosomal RNA". It matches the Rfam family "Bacterial small subunit ribosomal RNA", at positions 524 to 771 of the family's 1533-position model. The record is from RNAcentral.
GACGAACCGUGCGAACGUUAUUCGGAAUCACUGGGCUUAAAGCGCGUGUAGGCGGAUGACCACGUCGGUCGCUCAAAGCCCCCCGGCUCAACCGGGGGUGUGGCGCCGAUACGGGCCAUCUGGAGGGGCGUAGGGGGAGCUGGAACUCACGGUGGAGCGGUGAAAUGCGUUGAGAUCGUGAGGAACGCCCGCGGCGAAAGCGAGCUCCUGGACGCCUGCUGACGCUGAGACGCGAAAGCCAGGGGAGCGA